UACGGAGGGUGCAAGCGUUAAUCGGAAUUACUGGGCGUAGAGCGCACGCAGGUGGCUGAGUCAGUCGAUUGUGAAAGCCCUGGGCUUAACCUGGGAAUUGCAGUCGAUACUACUCAGCUAGAGUAUGGGAGAGGGUAGUGGAAUUCCCGGUGUAGCGGUGAAAUGCGUAGAUAUCGGGAGGAACAUCAGUGGCGAAGGCGGCUACCUGGCCCAAUACUGACACUCAGGUGCGACAGCGUGGGGAGCAAACAGG
Molecule: ribosomal RNA, 253 nt
Filed under: uncultured bacterium
Lineage: Bacteria
Description: partial 16S ribosomal RNA
Rfam family: Bacterial small subunit ribosomal RNA
Source: RNAcentral